AUGGAUGCUGAAUAUCUUGCUCUCAUGAAAAAUAAGACAUGGCAUCUUGUUCCGUUUCAAAGAGGACUUAACAUUAUUGACUGUAAGUGGGUAUAUAAAGUUAAGCACAAAUCUGAUGAUACUAUUGACAGGUACAAAGCCCGCUUAGUUGCUAAAGGCUUCAAGCAAUGUUAUGGCAUUGACUACGAGGACACCUUUAGUCCUGUAGUGAAGGCAGCGACGAUCAGGUUAAUUCUGUCUGUUGCUGUGUCAAAAGGGUGGUGUAUGCGACAAUUGAAUGUGCAGAAUGCGUUUCUUCAUGGUGUUCUGGAAGAGGAGGUCUAUAUGAGGCAAUCACCAGGGUAUGGGGAUCCCAAGAAACCUGGUCUUUUGUGUAAGUUAGACAAAGCACUAUAUGGGUUGAAACAGGCACCACGUGCAUGGUACUCUCAUCUAUCCACCAAACUACAAUCACUUGGUUUUACUCCUUCAAAGGCAGAUACCUCUCUAUUCUUCUAUAGCAGAAAUGGAAUAACCAUAUUUAUGCUUAUUUAUGUUGAUGGUAUUAUUGUCACAAGCUCAUGCUCAGAGGCAGUCGAAGCACUACUCCGUGAUCUGCGUGGAGAUUUCUCACUGAAGGAUCUGGGAGACUUGCAUUACUUCUUGGGAAUAGAGGUAACAUCAGUACACAAUGGAAUUAUUUUGUCUCAAGGAAAAUAUAUUGUAGACAUAAUAAAGAGAGCUGGCAUGAAGGAUUUUAAGCUACUCGGGGGAGAAGAUUCUACCAGAUACAGGAGCAUAGUUGGUGCGCUGCAAUAUUUAACACUAACUAGACCUGAUAUAUCAUUCUCAGUAAAUAAGGUGUGUCAGUUUUUGCAUGCUCCCACUAUGGUUUAUUGGUCAGCAGUGAAGAGAAUUAUUCGGUAUCUCAGAUAUACAUCUUCUGUUGGGCUAAAACUUGUGAAGUCAGAUUCAUCUCUUGUUAGUGCUUUUUCUGAUGCUGAUUGGGCAGGCUGUCCUGACGACAGAAGGUCCACCGGAGGUUUUGCUAUAUUUUUUGGAUGCAAUCUUGUUUCAUGGACUGCACGGAAGCAACCCACAGUAUCUAGAUCUAGCACAGAAGCAGAACAUAAGUCCCUUGCAAAUGCAACAACAGAGGUAAUUUGGGUACAAUCAUUGCUAAAGGAACUUGGUAUUUGCCAAUCACGAGCAGUAACAUUGUGGUGUGAUAAUCUUGGUGCCACUUAUCUGUCAGCAAAUCCUGUUUUUCAUGCUAGAACUAAACAUAUUGAAGUGGACUAUCACUUUGUCAGAGAAAGAGUAGCAAAUAAGUUACUAAACAUUCGGUUUAUACCGACAGGAGAUCAAGUUGCAGAUGGGUUUACGAAACCUUUGACAGUGAGGCAGCAAGAAGCUUUUCGGCGCAAUCUCAACUUAGAUAAGUUGUGA
This 1428-nucleotide ribosomal RNA is filed under the name Triticum aestivum (bread wheat). RNAcentral's name for it is "partial small subunit ribosomal RNA". The record is from RNAcentral. Lineage: Eukaryota; Viridiplantae; Streptophyta; Magnoliopsida; Poales; Poaceae.